ACAAUUUUUUAAAGUGCUUCUAAAAGAAUUUUAAGAAAUGUAUUCUAACGAAAAAUCAUCGAAAAUAUAUCCAUUAAAAAGGUGAAUUAAAACAAAAAAUAAAUAUAAGCGAGAUUUUGCAACAAAUCAAUAUGCAAACUCAAAAUUAGAAAGCACCGUAUACGUCAGUAAUGUUCUAUCAGUCAAUUUAUACGCGCGAACUCCCUCUGCAGUCUGUCACUGCUUGAUAGCGUGGAAGGAGCAGAAUAGACGUUUCGUUAGCCAAAAUCUAUCAAAACCGAACAAAAUAUUUGGUACUCUUCGUAAACAAGAUGAAGCUCAAUAUUUUUUAAUACAAAAUUUUUUCUUAUAUAUUAUCAAAUCAAACAUGUACAUAAAUUUUAUCAUAUGCAUAGUGUAGCAGAUUCAUAAUCUUUACAAAUUUAUUUGUUCGAACAUUCUACAAAUGAUAUAUUUUCGCAAAAUAUAGAGGUGAUAAAAUACAGGAUACUUUAAGAUUUAAAUAAUAACAAUUUCUUAAAUGAUUUAUAUCAUUUUAUUUUGAUCACAAUGCAUAACCCAAAUAAUUUUACUGCGCACUUGCAGUUGCAGGUGCCGUAGCAGUGGUUUGAGCUUGCUCCUCUCGAAGGCGAUCUUUCUUGAGUUGACCCAUAAAGGAUAUCUUGUCCGCAGCUGUCUGGAAACGACCGUGUCCAAACUUCGAACUUGUAUCGAUGAAUUUCAGAUUGAUCUUUUCCAAAGCGGACCGUUUCGUGUGAAUCAAUAAAGACUGGAAAAGUAA
Long non-coding RNA from Vespa mandarinia (Asian giant hornet), 781 nucleotides. The record is from RefSeq and is a predicted model, not a curated record. Lineage: Eukaryota; Metazoa; Arthropoda; Insecta; Hymenoptera; Vespidae.